This 433-nucleotide ribosomal RNA is filed under the name uncultured bacterium. RNAcentral's name for it is "partial 16S ribosomal RNA". It matches the Rfam family "Bacterial small subunit ribosomal RNA", at positions 29 to 507 of the family's 1533-position model. The record is from RNAcentral.
AACGAACGCUGGCGGCAUGCCUAACACAUGCAAGUCGAACGAGACCUUCGGGUCUAGUGGCGCACGGGUGCGUAACGCGUGGGAACCUGCCUUUAGGUUCGGGAUAACUCAGAGAAAUUUGAGCUAAUACCGGAUGAUGUCUUCGGACCAAAGAUUUAUCGCCUUUGGAUGGGCCCGCGUUGGAUUAGCUAGUUGGUGGGGUAAAGGCCUACCAAGGCGACGAUCCAUAGCUGGUCUGAGAGGAUGAUCAGCCACACUGGGACUGAGACACGGCCCAGACUCCUACGGGAGGCAGCAGUGGGGAAUAUUGGACAAUGGGCGAAAGCCUGAUCCAGCAAUGCCGCGUGAGUGAUGAAGGCCUUAGGGUUGUAAAGCUCUUUUACCCGAGAUGAUAAUGACAGUAUCGGGAGAAUAAGCUCCGGCUAACUCCGUG